UGAUUGAGAAAGAGAUAAUAUUGGGUCUCAAAAAUAGAAACAUUUCCUGAAACCACAUUUCAUACUAGAAAAAUUACCUGAAACCACAUUUGACAUCUCAUAAAUAUUUUAACUCAAUCAAAUGGGGAAAAAUGAAAAGAGAAAAGAAUAUUGCUCAGUUGAACUGCUAGUAGCAUAUAACUCAAUAUCACAAAGUUUAGAUAGUUUCUUUUCCAUUUUAGGCCUCCCCUUAUCUUAGAGUAUAAUAGGUCUGCAAAUACUUGAAUAAUCAAUGAUUCAAUAUUUGCAUUUAUUGACUGUCCAAACUCAUUGCCUUAUCCUCACCUGUACUUCUCUUUGAUAUGCUGCCACUUAUGAGUCCAAAUUUGCUAUUUUUGCCUAUCACCAUUUGACCCUUCAUAAGCAAAUUAACUGCCUCUUUCACCAGAACUUCAUAUAUUACAUUAUAACUAGAGACAAAGCAUUUAACUGAGGCGCUUAUCACUAUGCUUAAGGAUGAAUAUAGCCAGCAUACUCCUCUUUUUUUAUGGCAUAAACAAGAAAACCACAACAAUCAAGGCCUUAAAUGAUUUGAUGAUCCUAAUGCCG
RNAcentral lists this unclassified non-coding RNA (588 nucleotides) under Hevea brasiliensis (rubber tree). The record is from RNAcentral. Lineage: Eukaryota; Viridiplantae; Streptophyta; Magnoliopsida; Malpighiales; Euphorbiaceae.